Raphanus sativus (radish) is the source of this 806-nucleotide long non-coding RNA. RefSeq lists it as uncharacterized. NCBI's taxonomy places the organism in Eukaryota, Viridiplantae, Streptophyta, Magnoliopsida, Brassicales, Brassicaceae. The record is from RefSeq and is a predicted model, not a curated record. The transcript has 4 exons.
UGGUUGUAAAAAUGGAAACAGCAGUUUGAAGAAGUGAAAAUCCAUGGCAGCAAAUCAAAGAACAACUGAUUUUUUUAAGAUCCUUUUCCGAUCCAAACUCGGUAGAUCCACAGAGGACUUCACCUUUUCCGAUCUAUUUAGGCAUCCUGAGAUGGUGGACGAAGUCUUCCUUUGAUCUCUUUGACAAAGGCGUAAGAAGAUCUGAAAGACCAGAAAAAGGAAUAAUAUAGUUUCGAAGAAAAUAUUCAUAUUCCAAUAUAUGAAGACUAUAGAUUUCAUUCUUCUAUGAAGACCAACAUCAUUUAAAAAUAAAAGAUAAGUUAUUUCAAGAUACUUUAACUUCUUUUACAUUAAUAUAAAUCGUUAUUUCAAUGUGAAUAUAGCAUGCUUAGUUUAUUAAUGUGUUGGAAUUUUACAUUUGACAGCUUAGUUUAUAGAAGUUGAAAUAUGUACCUCUAAAUGAACCAAGUUUCUUAACCUCAAAAGCAAAGUGUUGCAGGCAGAAUGGACAAUAUUGGUUAGGUUUCCCCAAAUGCAGCAUGGUAUUCUUGAAUCACUAUGGCACAAGUGAAAAAGCGAGGGUAUAUCGUUUGAUGGUCAAAGAUGAUUUUGAUGGACUGAUUCAGAAUAGGCCUUUUUGUGUUCGGAUUUAAACUUGACAGGUUAUAGAUCAAUAUUGGAUAGACAUUAAUGUUUAUGGGUUAAGUCGGAAUGGGCCUUUUAUGUUUACGGAUUGAAACUGGCAGUUAUGAGAUUUAUUUGAUUUAAAAAAAAAAAAAAUAAACAGUGGCAGAGGGUUGUAAUUA